This is a long non-coding RNA of Pezoporus flaviventris, 867 nucleotides long. RefSeq lists it as uncharacterized. NCBI's taxonomy places the organism in Eukaryota, Metazoa, Chordata, Aves, Psittaciformes, Psittacidae. The record is from RefSeq and is a predicted model, not a curated record. The transcript is spliced from 3 exons.
UUUAAGUGUUAUCUUGGACCCGUUAGCAGAGCUCGUGUUGAUUUCGGCAGGGCCAUGAAGUAGCCUUGUGUCUGACAUCUGCUUGGAGAAUGGAAAUAAUUGUCCUUAAACUGGCUGGAAACCUGAAUGUUUCUUGAAGAAGUGAAAUCAUAUGCAGAGAGCAUGGCUUGUGCACAGAUACCAGCUGAUACCAUCACUGUGCCUGCUGUGCUUUGCAAGACAACUUCAUUGAAAAGCUGUAACAAGGACCUCAGCAGAGCAACGACUGAUCACAAGGACUCUCCCAUGUCUCCUUCUUGAUCUUCAUCAUUGGCAACUCUUUCUUGCUGCUAUCAUGUAGUUUCCAUUAAGUUGUAAGGUCUUUGUAAGUCUGUCUUUGCUACUCAUUAGAAUACAGUCACCCAUUUUUCACUUCAGCGCUUUGCAGUGUCCUUCACUGUUGUCUUUCUUCCUCAUCUGUCAAUCUGACUGUUGAUUAUUGAUACAGAGACAAACUAAACCUAUUCUGAGUCAAUUUGCAUGGAGAAAACACAUGAUUUCUAACGUGAGUAGCUCAAGAACAGAUCUUUGCCUUUUGUCCAAGCAAUACUCAGGCAGCCAGGCACAUCCCUCUGCAAUGAAACACAUUUCAAACUGUAGCAGAAUUUUGUUGGAAAAAUCAGAUGUUCCAUGUUUCUUGAUGGCUGAUUUUCUAGCAAUUAAAAAGUGGGAUGAGCUCCACUAGAGUCAUAACAAUGCCUGACAAAUCCUUCUUUAAAGGUAAUUAAUGGCUGAAUGGUGGAACAUCUGUUAGUCUUUUCCCCAUGAUGUUCACUGGCAAGGGCAAGAAGGGGUAAAAAAACAAAGAGAAAAAAUGACCCUUGAAUA